ACGCGUUUCCACAAGAAUAACUUAAGCGAAAUAAAAAAGAUUCUUUCAAACAAUUGUUAUCCGAACAAAGUUAUCAACAGAUACAUCAAUAUCAGACUUAAUGAGCUGCGGACGCGUCACAACAAUUCUAAUAAUUCCAACAGCGAUAGCUUGGCUCGGGAUCCUCGAAAAUUUAUAACCAUUCCGUAUGUUAAAGGCCUAAGCCACAACGUCGGCCGCACAAUGCGCGAUGCGGAAUUUAAAGUGCUGCUCACUAUUCCGAAGAAAUUAGACUGCAUCAUAAAAAAGGGGAAAGACAAGUUACCGAAUCUUAAACAAACUGAGUUAGUGUACAGGAUUGAUUGCGCUAAUUGUAACGCUGCAUACAUCGGUCAAACAAAAAGACACUUAGAGACGCGUAUUAAGGAACAUGCUUGCGACAUUAGGAAAAAUAGCGAUAAUCAUUCUGUCGUGAGUAAGCACCGUCUCACUCACAAACAUGAUUUCAAUUGGCAACAACCAAAAAUUUUAUACAAGGAAAGACAGUUCAAGAAGCGUGAAAUCUCUGAGAUGUUUUUUAUUAAGAAAUGUGACAGCGCAAUCAAUCUACAAAAAGACACCGAAAAUUUACCAGCGAAUUACAACCGAGUUAUUGACGCAACUUAGGUUUGCCGGUUUGUUUUGUCCGUGAGCACAGUUAGUUAUUCGCCUAUUAUGUGUCUCUCAGUACGACUUUGACUGUGGAGAGGUAUGGAUGUGCUCUCUGACAUGACUUGCCUUUUUCUUUCCCUCUACAAUCUGUCUUUUGACACGCACAACAUUUGCGAUUGCAUGAUAUGGUUUGGGCACUAAUGUCAGCGAAUUAAAAAAUGUUGUGUGCGUGGUUCUAAUUCACUUGAUAAGGACCAGAAUGUGGUCGAAACGUUGUGAAGAAUAAAAUUGUUUUUGGCCAGUUCGGUCGAGAAAAACGACUUUUAUUU
Long non-coding RNA from Temnothorax curvispinosus, 959 nucleotides. RefSeq lists it as uncharacterized. NCBI's taxonomy places the organism in Eukaryota, Metazoa, Arthropoda, Insecta, Hymenoptera, Formicidae. The transcript is spliced from 2 exons. The record is from RefSeq and is a predicted model, not a curated record.